UACGGAAGGCAGCAGUGGGGAAUAUUGCACAAUGGGCGCAAGCCUGAUGCAGCCAUGCCGCGUGUAUGAAGAAGGGCCUUCGGGUUGUAAAGUACUUUCAGUCGUGAGGAAGGUGUUAAGGUUAAUAACCUUAGCAAUUGACGUUAGCGACAGAAGAAGCACCGGCUAACUCCGUGCCAGCAGCCGCGGUAAUACGGAGGGUGCGAGCGUUAAUCGGAAUUACUGGGCGUAAAGGGCACGCAGGCGGUUAAUUAAGUUGGAUGUGAAAUCCCCGGGCUUAACCUGGGAAUGGCAUUCAAGACUGGUUAGCUAGAGUCUUGUAGAGGGGGUAGAAUUCCAUGUGUAGCGGUGAAAUGCGUAGAGAUGUGGAGGAAUACCGGUGGCGAAGGCGGCCCCUGGACAAAGACUGACGCUCAUGUGCGAAAGCGUGGGGAGCAAACAGGAUUAGAUACC
This 453-nucleotide ribosomal RNA is filed under the name uncultured bacterium. RNAcentral's name for it is "bacterial SSU rRNA". It matches the Rfam family "Bacterial small subunit ribosomal RNA", at positions 340 to 786 of the family's 1533-position model. The record is from RNAcentral.